Molecule: non-coding RNA, 73 nt
Organism: Podarcis lilfordi (Lilford's wall lizard)
Lineage: Eukaryota; Metazoa; Chordata; Lepidosauria; Squamata; Lacertidae
Source: the annotation of a GenBank genome assembly
GCCCAGUUAGCUCAGUUAGUUAGAGCAUGGUGCUAAUAAUGCCAAGGUCAUGGGUUUGAUUCCAAUAUGGGCU